Molecule: long non-coding RNA, 493 nt
Organism: Lycium barbarum (goji berry)
Lineage: Eukaryota; Viridiplantae; Streptophyta; Magnoliopsida; Solanales; Solanaceae
Exons: 3
Source: RefSeq, a predicted model, not a curated record
CAAACAGAUCACAAGGGUCUUGUCUAUUGAAGAGAUGAGGGUUGAAACCCUAGUGGCCACCGUCUCGUUCCUUUUCUCUUUUCUUCGCCAUCGUUGCUAUUUUUUGCAAAAGGUCAGGUGUACAACACCUUUUACAAACCUGGCAUGGUUGAUUGAGGCAAACAUUUUCUCUCCACCAAGUCUCAACCAAACAAGUUGUUGAGGAGUUCAAGGGAUCUCCAAUUUCAAUUCUCGACAAAGAAAAAGUCGCUUGGGCAAAAUAUAUACUUCAAGCCAAUAUUGGGCCAGAGGCCCAACAUUCCUAUUUCUUCAAUCAAGUUCGUCGUUUAGAAAGCCCAACCAUGAGUGAAAAUGGCAACUAGUGGGCUUCGGUAGCCCCACUAGCCUAACUUUCUCUUUUGAUUUUCAUAAAAUGUAUAUGUGCAUGUAUGUAAAGAAUGCUUGUGUAAAUAUUGGAACCCCAAUAGAUACAAACUUAGAAAUUUUAGCCAAA